Protopterus annectens (West African lungfish) is the source of this 512-nucleotide non-coding RNA. The record is from the annotation of a RefSeq genome assembly. Lineage: Eukaryota; Metazoa; Chordata; Ceratodontiformes; Protopteridae.
GGUGGCUACCACUUAAUUGCUGCUUCUCUGGGUUUCUCAUGGAUUUCACCUGCUCCUCGUCUUAUCAGACAAACCUUGUUUUUAUUUUUCUGUUACUUUUCAGAGAAACCGCAGAAGAAAACAUUCAGAAAGUGACCCAACAUCCGGCGUUGGUAACUGCAUUUAUCAAUGAGUCAGUUACUAUCCAGUGUUCCCAGACCAGAUCGGAUAGCUACAUGUACUGGUACCGCCAACAGUUUCCCAGUAAACUAGACUUGUUGGUCUUGUCUGUUUAUGGGGGAGAUCCGGAGAGGCAACAAGGAGUCCCGGACAGGUACAUAGCCACCCGAGCAGAUGCUAACCACAUCUCUCUGAGGAUUGAAAGACUGACUGCCGCUGACACCGGAAUGUACUUCUGUGCAGCUAGCACACAGCGUCAGAAUCUGGUGUGGUCCUUCACUAAAAAUGUGACUCAAGCAGACAAGUCACUGGGGGUGCAAUUCGUAUUGUAUUUACAAUUAAGCUUCAUGUAG